Chthoniobacter flavus Ellin428 is the source of this 44-nucleotide small RNA. It matches the Rfam family "Acido-Lenti-1 RNA". The record is from Rfam. Lineage: Bacteria; Pseudomonadati; Verrucomicrobiota; Spartobacteria; Chthoniobacterales; Chthoniobacteraceae.
CCCAGCGUUUAAACGCUGGGCUAUUCUCGGUCGUCCUUCGGACU